Molecule: non-coding RNA, 45 nt
Filed under: Schistosoma curassoni
Lineage: Eukaryota; Metazoa; Platyhelminthes; Trematoda; Strigeidida; Schistosomatidae
Source: RNAcentral
AUCCAGUUGGCGAGUCUCAAAUAGGACGAAACGCGUGUUCUGAAU